UUGACCUCGGAUCAGGUAGGGAUACCCGCUGAACUUAAGCAUAUCAAUAAGCGGAGGAAAAGAAACCAACAGGGAUUGCCUCAGUAACGGCGAGUGAAGCGGCAAAAGCUCAAAUUUGAAAUCUGGCUCCUUCGGGGCCCGAGUUGUAAUUUGUAGAGGAUGCUUCGGGUGUGGCCGCGGUCUAAGUCCCCUGGAACGGGGCGUCGCAGAGGGUGAGAAUCCCGUCUUCGGCCGGCCGGCUUCGCCCGUGUGAAGCUCCUUCGACGAGUCGAGUUGUUUGGGAAUGCAGCUCUAAAUGGGUGGUAAAUUUCAUCUAAAGCUAAAUACUGGUCGGAGACCGAUAGCGCACAAGUAGAGUGAUCGAAAGAUGAAAAGCACUUUGAAAAGAGAGUUAAACAGCAUGUGAAAUUGUUGAAAGGGAAGCGCUUGCGACCAGAGUCGGCCGCGGGGGUUCAGCGGGCAUUUAUUGCCCGUGCACUCCCCCGGGGCCGGGCCAGCGUCGGUUUUGACGGCCGGUCAAAGGCCCCCGGAAUGUGUCGCCUCUCGGGGCGUCUUAUAGCCGGGGGUGCAAUGCGGCCAGUCGGGACCGAGGAACGCGCUUCGGCACGGACGCUGGCUUAAUUGGUCGUAAGCGACC
RNAcentral lists this ribosomal RNA (637 nucleotides) under Emergomyces europaeus. RNAcentral describes it as "eukaryotic LSU rRNA". It matches the Rfam family "Eukaryotic large subunit ribosomal RNA", at positions 1 to 649 of the family's 3401-position model. The record is from RNAcentral. Lineage: Eukaryota; Fungi; Ascomycota; Eurotiomycetes; Onygenales; Ajellomycetaceae.